This is a long non-coding RNA of Cucurbita moschata (crookneck pumpkin), 147 nucleotides long. RefSeq lists it as uncharacterized. The record is from RefSeq and is a predicted model, not a curated record. The transcript has 3 exons. Lineage: Eukaryota; Viridiplantae; Streptophyta; Magnoliopsida; Cucurbitales; Cucurbitaceae.
ACUUGAUCAAGAUGAACACAAAGAACAAGAGAGACAAAAUACAAGGAGGAGGAAUAUUGACUAAAAGUUUAUAUGGAUAACUUUAGAUAUGAACACCAAGAGAGAAUACAGAGAAAGCACUGUAUUAAAAGUAAUUUUCAAAGCAUU